RNAcentral lists this ribosomal RNA (2926 nucleotides) under Klebsiella aerogenes. RNAcentral describes it as "partial 23S ribosomal RNA". It matches the Rfam family "Bacterial large subunit ribosomal RNA". Lineage: Bacteria; Pseudomonadati; Pseudomonadota; Gammaproteobacteria; Enterobacterales; Enterobacteriaceae. The record is from RNAcentral.
GGGUUGUGAGGUUAAGCGACUAAGCGUACACGGUGGAUGCCCUGGCAGUCAGAGGCGAUGAAGGACGUGCUAAUCUGCGAAAAGCGUCGGUAAGGUGAUAUGAACCGUUAUAGCCGGCGAUGUCCGAAUGGGGAAACCCAGUGUGAUUCGUCACACUAUCGUUAACUGAAUACAUAGGUUAACGAGGCGAACCGGGGGAACUGAAACAUCUAAGUACCCCGAGGAAAAGAAAUCAACCGAGAUUCCCCCAGUAGCGGCGAGCGAACGGGGAGCAGCCCAGAGUCUGAAUCAGCUUGUGUGUUAGUGGAACGGUCUGGAAAGUCCGACGGUACAGGGUGAUAGUCCCGUACACCAAAAUGCACAGGUUGUGAACUCGAAGAGUAGGGCGGGACACGUGGUAUCCUGUCUGAAUAUGGGGGGACCAUCCUCCAAGGCUAAAUACUCCUGACUGACCGAUAGUGAACCAGUACCGUGAGGGAAAGGCGAAAAGAACCCCGGCGAGGGGAGUGAAAAAGAACCUGAAACCGUGUACGUACAAGCAGUGGGAGCACCUUCGGGUGUGACUGCGUACCUUUUGUAUAAUGGGUCAGCGACUUAUAUUCUGUAGCAAGGUUAACCGUAUAGGGGAGCCGCAGGGAAACCGAGUCUUAACUGGGCGUUAAGUUGCAGGGUAUAGACCCGAAACCCGGUGAUCUAGCCAUGGGCAGGUUGAAGGUUGGGUAACACUAACUGGAGGACCGAACCGACUAAUGUUGAAAAAUUAGCGGAUGACUUGUGGCUGGGGGUGAAAGGCCAAUCAAACCGGGAGAUAGCUGGUUCUCCCCGAAAGCUAUUUAGGUAGCGCCUCGUGAACUCAUCUUCGGGGGUAGAGCACUGUUUCGGCUAGGGGGUCAUCCCGACUUACCAACCCGAUGCAAACUACGAAUACCGAAGAAUGUUAUCACGGGAGACACACGGCGGGUGCUAACGUCCGUCGUGAAGAGGGAAACAACCCAGACCGCCAGCUAAGGUCCCAAAGUCACAGUUAAGUGGGAAACGAUGUGGGAAGGCACAGACAGCCAGGAUGUUGGCUUAGAAGCAGCCAUCAUUUAAAGAAAGCGUAAUAGCUCACUGGUCGAGUCGGCCUGCGCGGAAGAUGUAACGGGGCUAAACUGUGCACCGAAGCUGCGGCAGCGACACUAUGUGUUGUUGGGUAGGGGAGCGUUCUGUAAGCCUGCGAAGGUGGCCUGUGAGGGUUGCUGGAGGUAUCAGAAGUGCGAAUGCUGACAUAAGUAACGAUAAUGCGGGUGAAAAGCCCGCACGCCGGAAGACCAAGGGUUCCUGUCCAACGUUAAUCGGGGCAGGGUGAGUCGACCCCUAAGGCGAGGCCGAAAGGCGUAGUCGAUGGGAAACAGGUUAAUAUUCCUGUACUUGGUGUUACUGCGAAGGGGGGACGGAGAAGGCUAUGUUAGCCGGGCGACGGUUGUCCCGGUUUAAGCAUGUAGGCGGAGGUUCCAGGUAAAUCCGGUACCUUUUUAACGCUGAGGUGUGAUGACGAGGCACUACGGUGCUGAAGUAACAAAUGCCCUGCUUCCAGGAAAAGCCUCUAAGCAUCAGGUAACAUCAAAUCGUACCCCAAACCGACACAGGUGGUCAGGUAGAGAAUACCAAGGCGCUUGAGAGAACUCGGGUGAAGGAACUAGGCAAAAUGGUGCCGUAACUUCGGGAGAAGGCACGCUGAUAUGUAGGUGAAGCCCCUGCGGGUGGAGCUGAAAUCAGUCGAAGAUACCAGCUGGCUGCAACUGUUUAUUAAAAACACAGCACUGUGCAAACACGAAAGUGGACGUAUACGGUGUGACGCCUGCCCGGUGCCGGAAGGUUAAUUGAUGGGGUUAUCCGUAAGGAGAAGCUCUUGAUCGAAGCCCCGGUAAACGGCGGCCGUAACUAUAACGGUCCUAAGGUAGCGAAAUUCCUUGUCGGGUAAGUUCCGACCUGCACGAAUGGCGUAAUGAUGGCCAGGCUGUCUCCACCCGAGACUCAGUGAAAUUGAACUCGCUGUGAAGAUGCAGUGUACCCGCGGCAAGACGGAAAGACCCCGUGAACCUUUACUAUAGCUUGACACUGAACAUUGAGCCUUGAUGUGUAGGAUAGGUGGGAGGCUUUGAAGCGUGGACGCCAGUCUGCGUGGAGCCAACCUUGAAAUACCACCCUUUAAUGUUUGAUGUUCUAACGUGGACCCGUAAUCCGGGUUGCGGACAGUGUCUGGUGGGUAGUUUGACUGGGGCGGUCUCCUCCCAAAGAGUAACGGAGGAGCACGAAGGUUAGCUAAUCCUGGUCGGACAUCAGGAGGUUAGUGCAAUGGCAUAAGCUAGCUUGACUGCGAGCGUGACGGCGCGAGCAGGUGCGAAAGCAGGUCAUAGUGAUCCGGUGGUUCUGAAUGGAAGGGCCAUCGCUCAACGGAUAAAAGGUACUCCGGGGAUAACAGGCUGAUACCGCCCAAGAGUUCAUAUCGACGGCGGUGUUUGGCACCUCGAUGUCGGCUCAUCACAUCCUGGGGCUGAAGUAGGUCCCAAGGGUAUGGCUGUUCGCCAUUUAAAGUGGUACGCGAGCUGGGUUUAGAACGUCGUGAGACAGUUCGGUCCCUAUCUGCCGUGGGCGCUGGAGAAUUGAGGGGGGCUGCUCCUAGUACGAGAGGACCGGAGUGGACGCAUCACUGGUGUUCGGGUUGUCAUGCCAAUGGCAUUGCCCGGUAGCUAAAUGCGGAAGAGAUAAGUGCUGAAAGCAUCUAAGCACGAAACUUGCCCCGAGAUGAGUUCUCCCUGAGACUUUAAGUCUCCUGAAGGAACGUUAAAGACGAUGACGUUGAUAGGUCGGGUGUGUAAGCGUAGCGAUACGUUGAGCUAACCGAUACUAAUGAACCGUGAGGCUUAACCUUACAACGCCGAAG